CAAUAGCGUAUAUUAAAGUUGUUGCAGUUAAAAAGCUCGUAGUUGGAUUUCUGGUGGGAGCGAUCGGUCUGGCGCUUAGCGCGAGUACUUGCAUCGUCUCCGGCCAUCCUUGGGGAGAGUCUGUCUGGCAUUAGGUUGUCGGGCAGAGGAUCCUCAUCGUUUACUGUGAAAAAAUUAGAGUGUUCAAAGCAGGCUUAUGCCGUUGAAUAUAUUAGCAUGGAAUACUAAGAUAGGACUUUGGUACUAUUUUGUUGGUUUGCGCACCAAAGUAAUGAUUAAUAGGGACAGUUGGGGGUAUUCGUAUUCCGUUGUCAGAGGUGAAAUUCUUGGAUUUACGGAAGACGAACUACUGCGAAAGCAUUUACCAAGGAUGUUUUCAUUAA
This 383-nucleotide ribosomal RNA is filed under the name uncultured eukaryote. RNAcentral describes it as "partial 18S ribosomal RNA". It matches the Rfam family "Eukaryotic small subunit ribosomal RNA", at positions 592 to 976 of the family's 1831-position model. The record is from RNAcentral.